UUGACAUUUUGGUUUUUGAAAGUUUGUAUUAUUUUUUUUGGCAAUUAUCGCAAUGAACUAUGGAAAGCGGCAGUGAUAGUGACUUUGAAAGUAUGCCUUGUGAAAUUGGCCAUGCAGCAGCUGCUGCUCCAAUUAUUGCCUGAAAAGUCCAUAGGAUAUAAUUUUGACGCAAAUAAAUGAAACCGCCAAAUCCUCUACUUUGUGAAGCAUGUAGUCUAUGUUGAAAAAUACCAAUUUAGUGAAGAAAAAUGUGAACAUAGCCACUUUUCCAAAGGUUAUCGCAUUUCUUGAAAGGAAGAAUGUUGGUUAUAGAGUAAAGGAUUCAGAAGUCUUCAACAGCGAGCAAAUAAUGGAACAUAUCUUAUGCUAAAGAUAGUUUUAACAAAAUACUACGAUUGUAGGGUAUAAAAGUGUCAACUUGAUUUGCUUUAUUUUUAGGUAGAAACAUUUAUUGGAUUAUACGGUGCGUGUAGACGGGAAAAACUAACAAAAAUGUCAAUUGAUCUAAUAAACAACAAGGAAUAAAUGAUGCUUGUUAAAAUA
Molecule: long non-coding RNA, 543 nt
Organism: Leptinotarsa decemlineata (Colorado potato beetle)
Lineage: Eukaryota; Metazoa; Arthropoda; Insecta; Coleoptera; Chrysomelidae
Source: RefSeq, a predicted model, not a curated record